Mastomys coucha (southern multimammate mouse) is the source of this 6350-nucleotide long non-coding RNA. RefSeq lists it as uncharacterized. NCBI's taxonomy places the organism in Eukaryota, Metazoa, Chordata, Mammalia, Rodentia, Muridae. The transcript is spliced from 2 exons. The record is from RefSeq and is a predicted model, not a curated record.
UUGCCUUAAUGAAAAACAAGAGCAAGUCACAUCUCUAUCUCCAGGAAACCAUUAAGGGUAAUGGCUUGAGGAAACCAGGUUAAAAGGGAAACUGGAUAAUCCUAAUCAAUGUAUGUCUAGAGCAAUGGUUCUUACGACAUGGUACCCAGUGUCAGCACAAGCAGGGGACACGGAAGGAAUCCAUGUUGUUGGGGUGGCCUGAGAGCUACCGGAGUGGGGACUCUGGACAUGGGUCUCAGAUGCACUGCCCCAGCACACACUGUUUAUGAGGGCCCUGGGGAGGCUUCUCACGUACAUUUCAGAGUAUUCGGAACUCCAGCUGAGUGUCUCUGUAGAUGGCAAAGUCGUGCUUUUGGUCUUGUCCUCGGAGUCAUCUUUGUCUUCUACUGAAUUUUGAGUUAUUCGAUCUAUACUGCUGAAAACCUGCGGGGCCGAUAACCACUGUUUACAAACUACAUCUAAAAAAGAGCUUGUCAGAAGCCUUAGGGAAAAAAAAUAAAAAAAAAAUAAAAACUCAAAUAUUGAAGUAAAAUCGGGAACUGGGAGACCACUAUACAUGGUGGCGCACACCUUUCAUCUCAGUACUUAGGAGGCAGAGGGUGGCAGAUCUCUGAGUUCUAGACCAGCCUAUAGAGUCUACAGAGUGAGUUCCCAGACAGCUGGGGCUACACAGAGAAACCCUGUCUCUAAGAAAACAAAACCAAACAGAAAAUUGUGAACUAGGGCCAUGUUGUGGAAAAUGCUAACAAUGUUGUAUGCAUGUCAUGAGAGAGAAGGCUCGAAGUAUGGAGACACAUUCUUUUCGAGUGGGGAGCUGAACUGACCCUCUCCUCUCACCAAAUCUCAAGGACUCUGCCAAAGAAGAAUCAUUGAUGCACUUGAGUUUCAUGGUUUCGGGGAUCAAUGUACAUCUCAGACAGGCUUGAGGCUCAAAAAGUAACCAGACAGAGAAAAUGAUACAGAAAACAAAAAGUAUUUAAUGGCCACCAAGCAGGAGCUGAGGUUGAGUGUGAAGAAGAGAUGAUGUGUUUCAGGACUUAGGACUUAGAGUGGGGUCGGUUCUAUGGAAGAAGGGAGCUAACCAGGUACCUUUGGCUUACAAAUCAGACAGACAGCUGCUGGUGCAGGAGACUAUAGCUUAGGCAAAGAGGCCUCUUUUAGCCCACUUCUGAAACACCACAGUCUCAUAGAAAGUACAAGAGGUAAAAAUGGGAGUGUGGAGAGCCCAGUACCUGCCAUUGCUACUCUCCAGCUAUUUACUGUUCUCAUGGAAAUGGGCCUGGGGCCUCCUACAAUCUCUAGAGUUAGAAAAAGAUUAGGCUAAAGAACAGGAGCCGGGGAAAAAUAAAAUGCUCUCCAGAGUAAAGAAGCAAACUGUUUAGGAGGGGUUCUGAGAGGGUAGAGGAUGGGUUGUGUUCUGAGUACCCAACUGAUGUUCCUUAAACUUGCUUCAGGACACACUUGCUAUAAGUCUCCAGGGAAAUCCCUGCCCCUAUGUUGGUCCUAUAAACAGACAGGGGUAGCACCGGCUGAUCUGCAGCUGCAUUUGGGGUAAUCACUCAGGAGAACAUACAGAGUGCUUUAAAAUCAAGAACUGCUAUAGAAUUCCUAAGGAAGAAUCAUGCCAAAUGCCAUGGCAACCACAAAGAUGUAGCAACUGAGACUAGCAGAAAGGAGGUAGGGUGCCCUUCGGGUUCAUUUCCAUCAUCCCUGGGUUCCUAACCUAUCAAAAAAUCAGGUUGUCCUUGUCUGUCUGUUUUUGAAUCUUACCUGAGUUCUAUAGAAAGGGAUCUCUUUCAAUAAUCAAUUUUGUUAUCUUAUACCAUUUUUAAAAUGAGUGGUACUGCCUUUUCCAAUGUAAGUUACAAUUUCUAUUGUUGAUCAAAAUACUUUCUUAUCCCCAAAGUCAAGUGUCUCCUAAGAGGCCUGGCUCAUGCAAAGAACUGAGCAUCAUUCCUGUGUUAGACUGUGCCACACUAAGGGGGAUCUCUGCACACAGUGAUGCCUAUGCUCUUCCUCACUGACCAAAGCCUCCACAGACUAGCUCUCAGCUAGACCUUAGGGGGCAGGCAAGCAAGUUCACCACAGGACAACUAUGAUGAAAGAUGACAAAGCAUUGGCGCCCUUGCUUCAAAGCAACAACCAACUCCCAAAGUUAGACUAUGCUUCUAGGGUGGAAACCGAUGCAAAUCCAAAAUAUGAGACCAUUUUCCCCCAACUACCUGGGAGUUUUAAGUGCUGGAGACCUCACAUCACACAAAGGGAAGGUGCCUUGACAGUCUAGUCCAGCUGAGCUGGGUACCAGCCACAGGCAAUCUCCCCAAGAUUCUGCAUGCUGAUGCUCCAUCUCACUUACUUUUGAAAACCUGUGUGAACAGGAAGAAAACUGCCGUAUCUCCACGGUGAAGUCCUCAUCAUUGGUAUCGUCUUCCUCCUCCGUCUCCAUGUGAUGAUACUUCUCUGACCGAGCUGUGGGGGAAGGUUUGGGAGCGGCCUGGGUUACUCAGAGAGUUUCUGUGUUUAACAGAGACAACUAUACUAUGAGUACCUGGAGCAGAACAGCAUGGAGCUUUCUAGGAUGGGGAGGUACGAGAUCGGAAAGUGUGAAGCUGGAGAUGAACUAUGUAUUUUUUAAAUGUAGGAAAGGCCAAAGGAUGUCAGAUAAUGCACGUACUAUCAAAAUAACUUGUGUCAUCCUCUGAUUCCAGUUGGGGAAUAAAUUCCGCCUUCUGUCUCAGCAAACUGUUCCAGUCUAAGGAGCGGAAGAAACGAUGCUGCUUCACUUCAUAGGCACCACCUGGACGGGGAGAGAAGCAGGGCUGAGAGGCUGAGCUGCCCUCUGCACACAGUAAGCACCAGGCUUACAAACAGUUCAAGAUAUUAUUAGGAGAGAAAUGAAGAAGUGGUGGAGUCCAUUCUUCCCCCCUACUUUCUACAACCAAACCUUGAAAAGAAAAUUCCUAUAAUUUAUCAGCAGGAAAUCUGAUUUUGCUAACAGCAGUUGCUACAGCACAGAUUUUCUCGGUUAAUUUUUCUACAACUUCUUCCAUUUUUCAAAGGUUAAUGACAGGGCCACUUAAAAUCACAUUAUACUGAACCUGGGGACAUGGAUGCAUGUUGGCCCAAAAGCAGACUCACUCAUUACAAACCCUGAAGAUCCUAACAAGGUGCAAAACGUGCUUACAGCAAGAUUUCUUCUGGAGGGAAGGUUAAUAAUGAUGGAUUUUUCCUAAAUAUUAUAUAAUGGUUACCAUUCAGUUUUAUCAGAUUGCUCAUUAACACAGGGAGGAAUUAGAUUCUGUGGUUUAGAUCCUUAAGUAAGGAAAUGGCAAAUUGGUUAGACAGAUUUAUAAUUCGUCUAACAGAAAUCAGUCACAGGGGCUAAAGACGAGGCUUCUGUUUGCCAGAUAAUUAUAGUAGUACAGUUUGGAGAGAGGUCUUUACAUUUAUUUAAUGAGUUUAAACAGUUAAGUUUGAAGGGCAAGGUUCACUGGGAAUGUAUUCACAACAUCCCAUUGAAAGAGAGGGAAGUCAUUUGGUAAGAGCAGGCCCCACCCUACCCCAGCACACCCACAAGAGAUAACAAAAAACAGAGCCUGAAAUAGCAUCAGGAAGAAAGAUUUCUCAGAAGACCAUCACAGAGGUCUAAUCUGCCUCUCUAUCAAGCUUUCUUGGGGAUGGGGUAGGGGAAAUGUAGCUGCUUCUCUCUAUGACUGUCAUCCAUGCCUCCCAUCCUGUCUUUUGUGGGUACAAAAGGGACAGAAUGGGAAAGGGAGGGAGAUGGAAGAUGGGCUGAGACAGAGAAAAGUGGGGUAAAUCACUCCAAGAGGGGACAACUGACUGGUUUGCACAAAGCACAAGGAUGAGAAUUUUUUCUUAUCCUUUUUUGUUGUUGUUGUUGUUGUUUUGUUUUCUUUUGAGGCAGAAUUUCUUUGCAUAGCCCUGGCUGUCCUGGAACCCCCUCUGUAGACCAGCCUGGCCUUGAACUCAGAGAUCUACCUGCCUCUGCCUCCCAAGUGCUGAGAUUAAAGGCGUGUGCUACCACGGCAACUACAGUACCAGUGGCUUUUCAGCUAUGAUCGAUCUGUGGGCCAGUUCUGUGCUGGGUGUUGAGACAGACAGACAGACAGACAGACAGACAGACAGACAGACAGACAGGGAAAGUGCAUGGAAAAGAAAGGGAGCGUGAGAAAAGAAGAGUCCCCAGAAAAGUAUAGUAUUCAAUCCUGGUUUCUGGUUUAUGUUUCUUACUGGCUGAGGGUCAAGAAUUUCUAUUCUACUGGCAAAAUCCAAACUGCUGUUUAAGACUGUCUGCAAAGAAAAAUACUUCCUUUGCUAGAUAAAGCCCACAAAAAAAGAAAGAAAGAAGAAGAAGUAUUACAGCAGUCAGGGAAUUCUGGGAUCUCAUGUAACCCAGGUUGGACCUGAACGCACUAUGUAGCUAAGGAUGAUCUUGAUCUCUGGAUCCUUUUGCCACUACAUCUCAAGUGAUGUGAUUAUAUAGGCUUGUACCACUGGGCCUGGCCUACAGCAGUCCAUAUGUAAACAAGGACAGAUACUUGCUAUGGGAAAAAUGGGGGAGAAAUGGUUGUCCUACUCUUUACUGAUGUUUCUAUUAUAAUGGAAUAGAACUUCAGAAUAAAUGACCACAGCAGGCCAACAAUUUUCACCAAUAAAACUACUAAUUACCACCUAGAGUAUGUGUACCUACAUUUAACAUUUUUGUCUUGCUAAGACAGAUUCACCUAGGCAGACCUGAUGCUAUCCCAAGAGAUGUCUAAAGUGUCUAUCCAUAAUAUAGGAAAGAAAAGGAAGCUCAUACCUGCUGGCUGUAAAACUGGAGGGAAAAAAAUAUCAGCAAGAAACAAACAGAGUAUCUCGUCUAUCUUCAAAGGCAAUGGUUUAAUUCCCUUUCUUGGGCCAUGGUGUUGAUCGCCAUGAUAGGAAAGCCUGGCUCAGCCCCAGGCCCUCAUUUCUAGUAAUCAGUUGGAGAGCUGAUAACCUAUUUCAAAGGCUGUGGAUAGAAGCCUGCUGGGUUAAAUCCUCGUGGAAUGUAUAUUAAAAACACGACCAAAAAGAGUGCCUCGUAUCUGAUUUUCCGUUUCCAAUUAUUUACGAUGCAUGUUUUUCAAAACAGAAGAUUGGUACAUACCCUGGAGAUGCAUUUAUUGAACUAAAUUAAGAGUUUCUCCCUCGCAAAACACAAAAACAAACACCACCCAUCCGUGUGUAUGUGCUGUUCUAAAUCACACACACACACACACACACACACACACACACACACACACACACACCCACACACACCCACACACACACACACACACACACCAACCAAAUAAUAUUGCUAUAAUGUGCUGUAGCUAUGUCCUACAUCCACUAACAGAUGUUGCCUGCACAGAAAACAUUGGCAGAAGCUUCAGACUGCUCCAGAGGACAUUAUUUCUUGUAUAUUGGCAAAAGCACACAUGCUCUCUAACCUGUUCCCAGCCUCUCCAGCGGAUUCUGCCUGAGGAGCAAGGUAAUCAGACCCUGAGCAUCUGGAGGAGGGGCCUCGUCCUUUUCAGGCCAGUUGAUUUCAUCUGGAAGGAAGAGAAGAUGUCUAUAGUUUUAUUGCUCAAAGGGCAGAACCAUGGGCCCCAUCCCGGAAACACUGAGAACAAAACCUGCAUUUAAGAUCUUCAGUUGACUUCUACAUGGUUAGGUUUGAACAGUAUUAUCUUAGAAGGCCUGGACAGUACUGGUUUCUUCAAGGUCUAUUUCAAGAGACUAUUUCAAUAAACUGUACCUUUCAAUCACAUUUUUUUUCAUUGACAGAACUGUCUCCUACCAAGCCACUCCUCCUGGUUAUUAGAAGGGUUUAAUAGAAUAGAACUGAACAGCUUUGUGGCAGGUGCCUACCCGUUGGGGACCAUCUAGGUGUAAGAUUUUCUUACUAGCCUCAACUGCGAAUCUGGUCAUGCCUGCUCAAUUCUUUAGCUCCAAGGAGUAAAAGGUUAUUUUGCAAAAAGUAAUUAUUUCGAGAGACAAAGGCAAAGUCCAAAAUGUUAAGGCUGAAGAAGAAAAAAACGAAAGGAAACCACAGUAAUGGGAGUCUUUAAAGUCUGUCAGAGAUAUUAAACUGUGUUCUCGCUCUAAAGGAGUUUGCCUGGAGAUAGGUGUGUGCACGCUUGUGCCUAUGGAAAUGCAAUAAAAACAUGAGUUAUUUUUUGUGUGCGCCGGCCUCUAGCUUCCUCUGCUGUAGUUUAAAUCUGAUUUGGAAAAUAAAACAUGAAUAUGCAUCGGAGCCGUAAGGCACUGAGAACAAAGCCAGCAUUUGCUGCUUGUGUUAAUUAAACAGUUGAUUCCCCUUG